RNAcentral lists this ribosomal RNA (406 nucleotides) under uncultured bacterium. Its description in RNAcentral is "partial 16S ribosomal RNA". It matches the Rfam family "Bacterial small subunit ribosomal RNA", at positions 30 to 526 of the family's 1533-position model. The record is from RNAcentral.
AUUGAACGCUGGCGGCAGGCCUAACACAUGCAAGUCGAACGAGUGGCGGACGGGUGAGAAAUGUCGGGGAAACUGCCCGAUGGAGGGGGAUAACAACUGGAAACGGUAGCAAAUCCCGAAUACCAUCGGAGGUGCACAGAUUGGAUUGGCUAGUGGGUGGGGUAACGGCUCACCUAGGCGACGAUCCCUAGCUGGUCUGAGAGGAUGACCAGCCACACUGGAACUGAGACACGGUCCAGACUCCUACGGGAGGCAGCAGUGGGGAAUAUUGCACAAUGGGCGCAAGCCUGAUGCAGCCAUGCCGCGUGUAUGAAGAAGGCCUUCGGGUUGUAAAGUACUUUCAGCGAGGAGGCGUUACUCGCAGAAGAAGCACCGGCUAACUCCGUGCCAGCAGCCGCGGUAAUUC